GGGGGCGAUCUGGUUUCGACGGGUGGAUGAAGCUGGGCGCUGCGUGUCGACUUUGGCUUUCGUCGUAAAAGAAAAUCCAAAUGUUGGUAGCAUUUUUAUCUGCCGACGAUAACUACGCUCUCGCUGCCUAGCUGAAACUAGGCUAGCGGGCUCUCGUCCGUGACGUCUCCUAGCGGGUCGCGAGAGUCAUCAGGAGACUGGCUUCCGAGCGCUGCUAGAUCGUAUCCGGAAGCGAGAUUCAUAUGUAGCUAGGGAGUGCUUGCUCCGUCCUUGCGGCCGACACUCCCGAAAUUAAGCAAGGACUACACACGUAGACGCGUCCAUUGGACGCCAUGCGGACGCGGGUUCGAUUCCCGCCGCCUCCACCA
Molecule: transfer-messenger RNA, 368 nt
Filed under: Myxococcota bacterium
Lineage: Bacteria; Pseudomonadati; Myxococcota
Rfam family: transfer-messenger RNA
About the family: Bacterial tmRNA, also known as 10Sa RNA or SsrA, is named for its dual tRNA and mRNA-like properties. Its role is to liberate the mRNA from a stalled ribosome. To accomplish this part of the tmRNA is used as a reading frame that ends in a translation stop signal.
Source: RNAcentral